UGCCCUCACAGACGUGCGGUUUAUGCUCCUCUGAGGCAGCGGUAGUGGCUGGGAGUUUGAAACCUGGUCGGUACAGAUAGAAGAUACUAUGGAGACGUGUUUUAUUCUCAGCAUUUGGAUAUUCAGUCUCCUAGGUGCUGCGUUCGGUAACUCGGUUCAGUCCAAGGAAGCCGAAGUAUCUGGAUCAGUUGGAGGUUCUGUGACACUCAGCUAUUCUUACACCACUAGCGAUAGCUAUGUCUAUCUCCAUUGGUUCCGUCAGUAUCCGAAUCAAGCCCCGCAGUACAUUCUCUGGAAAGGAGCGAAGUCCAACAGCGGCCAAAGCAACACUGCAAAUUUCGCUCAGAAGAGGUUUUCUUCCCAGGCUGAUGACAGCUCCACAGUUCUGAAUAUCAGAGCGCUGGAGCUGGCGGACAGCGCGGUGUAUUACUGCGCCCUGCGUCUGGCACAGUGACAGAGCCACACAGGAGAGCCGUACAAAAACCCUCCCUUCCCAGCUGCAGAUAAUGUUGUGCUCAUUGAGGUUGGAAGCGGAGCCCCUCAGGAGUUUUGCUAGACUGUUAAAAACACAUAUUCUGUCUCGGAUGUGGUGCUGUCAGAUUACUCCUUCCUAAUCUCUCCAAAGCGCCAAAUUCUUAUUCAAACAGCUGCAUUAAAACAGUGGCUUCCAUAUGAGGAGAGAUUAAUAAAACUGGGACUUUUUCAGCUUGGAAAAGAGACGACUAAGGGGUGAUAUGAUAGAGGUGUAUAAAAUCUCGACUGAUGUGGAUAAAGUAAAUAUGGAAGUGUAAUUUAUUCUUCUCCUAAUACAAGAACUAGGGGUUACCGAAUGAAAUUAAUAGGCCGCAGGUUUAAAGCAAACAAAAGGAAAUAUUUCUUCGUGCAAUCCAUAGUCAACCUGUGGAACUCUUUGCCAG
Non-coding RNA from Dermochelys coriacea (leatherback sea turtle), 917 nucleotides. Lineage: Eukaryota; Metazoa; Chordata; Testudines; Dermochelyidae. The record is from the annotation of a RefSeq genome assembly.